RNAcentral lists this long non-coding RNA (536 nucleotides) under Canis lupus familiaris (dog). Its description in RNAcentral is "lncRNA (ENSCAFG00845006122.1)". The record is from RNAcentral. Lineage: Eukaryota; Metazoa; Chordata; Mammalia; Carnivora; Canidae.
AAUAUUACACAUUAACUCCUCCAGGCCAUAAAUGGGGACUUUGGUCCCAUCUCCCAGGACCCAGAAUGAACAGAUAGGAGGCUCCACACUCGGGGCACACCUAGCCCCACCCAGAGCAUCCUCCUGACUUCCCUGCACCCAGCCUCCUGCCUCCAGCUCCCCUGCACCCCACCCCCUGCCCAGCCCAGUCUGGCUGGGGAUGAGGCCAGAUGGGUGUCAGCACGAACACCCUGUGAGCUUGGCAAGCCGCCCUGGUCCUGAGCCCCGCUUCCUCAUCUGCAAACAGAGAGACUUGCCCUGUUAAAAAAAAAAAAAAAAAACCUUGAAGCUUCUCAUUUUCUGUGAUGUCAAGAUUGAUUCUGAGAGCCCUUUUGUCUUGCUUUUUCCCCUCGUGCCAUGACUUUUCUGAUCCUACGGGCAUCCUUGGAUGUUAAGGCUGCCGGAGUAGAUGUCCAGCCCUGCCUCUCCACCUCCAACCAGCUGACUGUCUCUCCUUCAAGAGAUUUCCACAGAGCUCUUGCUUCCUCCAGCCCAGG